Long non-coding RNA from Dendrobium catenatum, 416 nucleotides. RefSeq lists it as uncharacterized. The transcript has 3 exons. The record is from RefSeq and is a predicted model, not a curated record. Lineage: Eukaryota; Viridiplantae; Streptophyta; Magnoliopsida; Asparagales; Orchidaceae.
UUACAUACGCAGUGCAAAAAAAUAUCACCCAAAUUUUAAAUUUUACCGCAAAACCCGUCGCCCGCAAGCUUCCAGCUUCUGCCCUGUCUAGGAUCUCUCCCAUCAGGACGUUUCGCCUUUCCUUUCGCAUUGUGCAGGUCGCAGCUUCUAAUCCUUCACAGUAUCAUUAUGUUGCGCCUCCUUGUCUCUCGCACCUCUCGUCGUUGUGUUGGCAUCGGGGUCAUUGCUUUCAUCGCCGCCUCUGACUUCUUGGAUGAUAAUAACUCUUCUCUUUCAAGAGCACCGAUUUCCCAUUCCCCCCUCCUUCAUCAGUUCCUCUUCCAUCCAUCAGAUUUUGUCUUGCAGGGCUUUGCUUCUUCAUUGCUCUUCUCUAACCCUAUUGGAGGUUCUUAUAUUUUUCCUUUCUCUGUUUAUUA